RNAcentral lists this RNase P RNA (505 nucleotides) under Adhaeribacter arboris. RNAcentral's name for it is "Adhaeribacter sp. HMF7605 RNase P RNA component class A". It matches the Rfam family "Bacterial RNase P class A". From Rfam's summary of the family: Ribonuclease P (RNase P) is a ubiquitous endoribonuclease, found in archaea, bacteria and eukarya as well as chloroplasts and mitochondria. Lineage: Bacteria; Pseudomonadati; Bacteroidota; Cytophagia; Cytophagales; Hymenobacteraceae. The record is from RNAcentral.
AUAGCAAGCCGUCUUAUCGCUGCGCCGCGAGGCGGAGAGGAAAGUCCGGGCAACACAGAGCAGUCUACUUCCUAACGGGAAGGAUUCCGGCAAAAUCCGGGAUACAGCCAGUGCCACAGAAAAUAACCGCCGGUACAGUUACAUUUACCAGGCACCAUUUACCAAAACUUGGUCAUUGGAAAAUGGUACCUGGUAAAUGUAACUGUACCGGUAAGGGUGAAAAGGUGCGGUAAGAGCGCACCAGUACGCGGGCGACCGUUGUAGCUGGGUAAACCUUAGGCGUUGAAAGACCAAAUAGGCUGGCAGCUCAUUUAGCUUAGAUUAUCUUUUUCCCGGUUAUUGCGGUAAUUGGUAAAGGAUAUCUGGUAAAAGAUAAGGGCGGCUCGUCCGAUGCCAGUGGGUAGGUUGAUGGAGCCCCGCCGCGAGGUGGGGCCUAGAUAAAUGGUAAGACGUUCGGGAGCUUGCUUCCGAAUGACAGAACCCGGCUUACAGGCUUGCUAUAUUU